RNAcentral lists this long non-coding RNA (296 nucleotides) under Eucalyptus grandis. Its description in RNAcentral is "long non-coding RNA (EGRA_LNC005814)". Lineage: Eukaryota; Viridiplantae; Streptophyta; Magnoliopsida; Myrtales; Myrtaceae. The record is from RNAcentral.
AUGGACCUUAUGCAUAUAAUUGUGGGAGGAGAUGUCGGUCAUCUUUUGAAGUGUAGCCGAGUAUAGAAAACUACGGCAUUUUGAUGUACCGACUAAAGAUGUCCAUCUGCUCUAUGUAAAUAAACGUGUUCAGUUUUAACUUAUAUAAGAUGUUUAGUAGGUGUGCAUCGUUUUCUGAAUAUAGGGAAGGGAGUUUGUUAGAUGUGCUUCCGUAUAUGAAUUGCACAAAGGACCUAUAAAAAAAAAAUGUAAACCCCCAUGGUUGUAUGAACCCGCUGCAAUUGAAAUGGUAUCAG